CUUUUCUUUUGAAAAGUAGAUUCCCUUAGCUUUUCUUGAAAGCUGUCCUGAGUGAAAUGCUUUUUCUUUUGAAAAGCAGAUGAAAGCUGUCCUGAGUGGAAUGCUUUUUCUUUUGAAAAGUAGAUUCCUUUGGCUUUUUGUAAAGCUGAUUGAUUGCCUUUUAGAAAAGCAUCUGGUCCUACGGGUUCCUACUAGGAAUAGUAGAAUGCCUCUUCAAAAAAUAAUUCCGGUUCUUUGAACCUCUAUCUUUUGAAG
This 255-nucleotide long non-coding RNA is filed under the name Capsicum annuum. RNAcentral's name for it is "long non-coding RNA (CANN_LNC009001)". The record is from RNAcentral. Lineage: Eukaryota; Viridiplantae; Streptophyta; Magnoliopsida; Solanales; Solanaceae.